RNAcentral lists this ribosomal RNA (253 nucleotides) under uncultured bacterium. RNAcentral's name for it is "partial 16S ribosomal RNA". It matches the Rfam family "Bacterial small subunit ribosomal RNA", at positions 524 to 776 of the family's 1533-position model. The record is from RNAcentral.
UACGUAGGGACCAAGCGUUGUUCGGAUUUACUGGGCGUAAAGGGCGCGUAGGCGGCAUGACAAGUCACUUGUGAAAUCUCCGGGCUUAACUCGGAACGGUCAAGUGAUACUGUCGCGCUAGAGUGCGGAAGGGGCAAUCAGAAUUCUUGGUGUAGCGGUGAAAUGCGUAGAUAUCAAGAGGAACACCUGCGGCGAAGGCGGGUUGCUGGGCCGACACUGACGCUGAUGCGCGAAAGCUAGGGGAGCGAACGGG